RNAcentral lists this non-coding RNA (775 nucleotides) under Pongo abelii (Sumatran orangutan). The record is from RNAcentral. Lineage: Eukaryota; Metazoa; Chordata; Mammalia; Primates; Hominidae.
AUUCUGAAUAUAACUAACUUCCUUCCUUCCUUCCUUUCUUCCUUCCUUCCAUCCUUCCUCCCUCCCUCCCUCCCUGCUUUCCCUUCCUCCCUGCCUUCCUUCUUCCUUCCUCUCUUUUUUCUUUUCUCCCUUCCUUCCUUCUUAAUAUGUUUUUGGCCUUUUCUUUAUAUAUGUGGCCUAUCAAUAUCAUGUGUUUGGAAAAGCAUAAACUUAAGGCAUCACCUUUACAGAAAAUAUCUUCCAUGGAAACAUCUAAAGGCCACAGAUCAGCCCUGGGGUUCAGAGGGAUCCUGACGGCUACUCCUCAAGAUCCUCUCUGUUGUGAUUCAUCCCCCCCAGGCCCUACAGUUUCUCCUUCCUGACUCUUACAUUUCUUUGGAUGGCAUCACUAUUUACCUGUCUCCUCCCAUAGUUAGUUGCCAAGCACUGUGGAUUCUACCCCUCAGGGUCCAGACACCCAUUUUCCUUCCCACUGUUCCCUCCCCAUGGAGAAGCCUGUGGCUGACUGACAGCUCAACUUGGAGAAGGUGUUACCUGGGCCAGGUGGGGAAGGUAGGGUUGUUUGCAGAGCAAAGAAGUGAAGGAAGUAUUAACCCUUUGCAUGGCCUCCUGAGAAUCUGACAAGACGUAAAUAGCCAAGAAUAUCUGUGGAACUUAAUCAGUGAGUUACAAUAUUUAUCACUGCAAGUGUGUUGUUCAUUGACACUAUAAAGCCAUAUGGAAUUAAGCAGCCUUGAAACACAAAAUGGAGAAAGGCUAAGAGCUGAGAAUUGUU